RNAcentral lists this ribosomal RNA (420 nucleotides) under uncultured bacterium. RNAcentral's name for it is "bacterial SSU rRNA". It matches the Rfam family "Bacterial small subunit ribosomal RNA", at positions 355 to 786 of the family's 1533-position model. The record is from RNAcentral.
UGGGGAAGUAUUGGGCAAUGGGCGCGAAGCCUGACCCACGCAACGCCGCGUGAAGGAAGAAGGCUUUCGGGUUGUAAACUUCUUUUGUGAGGGACGAAACAAAUGACGGUACCUCACGAAUAAGCCACGGCUAACUACGUGCCAGCAGCCGCGGUAAUACGUAGGUGGCGAGCGUUAUCCGGAUUUACUGGGUGUAAAGGGCGUGUAGGCGGGACUGCAAGUCAGAUGUGAAAACCAUGGGCUCAACCCAUGGCCUGCAUUUGAAACUGUAGUUCUUGAGUGAUGGAGAGGCAGGCGGAAUUCCGUGUGUAGCGGUGAAAUGCGUAGAUAUACGGAGGAACACCAGUGGCGAAGGCGGCCUGCUGGACAUUAACUGACGCUGAGGCGCGAAAGCGUGGGGAGCAAACAGGAUUAGAUACC